RNAcentral lists this ribosomal RNA (253 nucleotides) under uncultured bacterium. RNAcentral's name for it is "partial 16S ribosomal RNA". It matches the Rfam family "Bacterial small subunit ribosomal RNA", at positions 524 to 776 of the family's 1533-position model. The record is from RNAcentral.
UACGUAGGGUGCGAGCGUUAAUCGGAAUUACUGGGCGUAAAGCGUGUGUAGGCGGAUCGUUAAGUACCUUGUGAAAUCCCACGGCUCAACCGUGGAACUGCUGGGUAUACUGGCGAUCUUGAGCCACCUAGGGGCGAGCGGAACAAGCGGUGGAGCGGUGAAAUGCGUAGAUAUCGCUUGGAACGCCAAUGGUGAAAACAGCUCGCUGGGGGUGUGCUGACGCUGAGACACGAAAGCCAGGGAAGCGAACGGG